Pelobates cultripes (western spadefoot toad) is the source of this 1400-nucleotide non-coding RNA. The record is from the annotation of a GenBank genome assembly. Lineage: Eukaryota; Metazoa; Chordata; Amphibia; Anura; Pelobatidae.
GUAGUUUCCAACACUUCUAUACAUGUUUGUAUACAGGGGGGUAUAUCUUUCAGCCAGUUCCUACUUAUGACGGUUAAUGCUGUAAUAAUUAUAUGAUAUGCCAGGUAUUCAUUCGGUUUCUGUAGUGUUUUGGGCCAUAUGAGUAACAGAUAAGUUAGUGGGGUGUGUGGUAGCUUGACGCCUGUGGUAUACUCUAUGAGGCUUGAGACGUCUAACCAAAAUUUUUUCAAUUUCGCACAUCCCCACCAGAUAUGGGUCAUAGACCCAGGCUCCGCGCUACAUCGCCAGCAUGUAUCUGGUUUGGUAGAAUCUAUCCUGUGUAGCUUUGAGGGCACCAUAUACCACCGAUAUAGAAGCUUCCUGCUUAAUUCUAUGUGUGCUGUGUUUAAUGUGAGCGUUUUAUGUGCUCUCCGGGUCUGAAGCCAUUCGUCAGGCGUCAGUGUGUGGUCUAGUUCCUUUUCCCAUGUUUUAAUAAAGUUAGGUUUUUCUGUGUUUGUGUUGUGUUCAAGCAAUCGAUAUAGGGUGGAUAGUAGUCGUGGUGGUGGCUUGCCCGCCAUGCAUAAGAUUUCUAUCUCAUUGAGUACAUAACCCCGUGUCUGGGAGUUGUCAUAGUGUUUGGUUGCCCAUGAUUUCAGUUGUAGGUAGGAAAAAAAGAGUGUGGAGGGUAGAUUGUAUUUGUUGCGUAGCGAGUCGUAGUCGCUUAUAUGUCCGUUUGUCAGUAUCUGUGAUAUAUAGGACACUCCAAGGGAGUUCCAGGUUUUGUAGUCAAAUCCUGGAAUCAAAACAUUUAGUGCCCGGAGUUGAAGGUUUGGGGAGAAUUGCGCUUUUUUGUUUUUGUUUUUGACCAGGUUGUCCCAUAUUUUGAGUGUAGCCAUAGUGGUUGGGCAUAUGUUUUUAUAUUGUGGCCUUCUGUCCCUAGGUAUCCAGGCUAGGGUGUGUAGUGGCAUGCUCUCGGUGUAUGCCGCUUCUAUUUGGGUCCAUGCAAGUGGCGUUUUGUGGUGGUAUGUGUUUAUCAGUGUACUUAUCAUAGCUGCCUCAUAAUAUCUUGUGAUGUUUGGGACCCCCAUUCCUCCCAGUUUGAAGGGUUUGUAUAGAAUCUCUGCUGCUGUUCUGGCUUUUUUCCCACCCCAUAUAAAUUUAUUUAGGGAGCGCUGAGCGUCUAUGAGAAAUAAUUUUGGGAGAGCUAUUUGUAGGGUUCUGAAAAGGUAUUGUAGACGUGGCAGUAUCAUCAUUUUUGCCGCUGCGAUUCUGCCCAUCCACGACACAUAUUUCCCCUUCCAGCCCUGCAUUUGAUUGUUUAUCUCCCGGAGGAGCUUCUCAUAGUUGGCCUGGUACAGUUUACGCGUGGUUGGCGUGAGUGAUAUGCCUAGAAAGGUGAGGUGGUCACGCCUCCAGUCAUA